Lolium perenne is the source of this 3330-nucleotide long non-coding RNA. RefSeq lists it as uncharacterized. The record is from RefSeq and is a predicted model, not a curated record. Lineage: Eukaryota; Viridiplantae; Streptophyta; Magnoliopsida; Poales; Poaceae.
UUAGAACUUACAGAUUUAUCUCUCUCACUCUCUCAUCCGCUCUGUCUCCCAUCUCUCGCUCUCUCUCAUCUCUCACUCUUCGCUUCGGAUGAGCUCUGCCCAGCGACAGAGGAGAGGCCACCUACCUUCCGGCGAGCUCCGCGAUGGAGGAGAGGGGGCCGCAUCGGAGCUUCCUACGAGCUCCGCGAUAGAGGGGAGGUGGCCGCGUUGGAGGGUAGGGAGACGGAGGGGAGUGGACGGCGACAGACUGAAGCGGCUGAGGCGGCGUCCACGGAGGUCUCCCGUCGAUCUCCGUGACAGAGGGUAGCGCGGGGUGUGGAGGGGACGGCGGAGGCACCCGGUGUCUACGGAGGUCUCUCCCUUCGAUCUCCGCGACGGAGGGCAGCGCGGGGUGGAGGGGACGCCGGAGGCGCCCGGCUAUGGGAGGAGCGGCGGCGCGGGGUACCGGCAGUUGCCGUACCCCCGAGGCCUGGGCAGUUUGGCCGGGAGGAGAGGAGGGCUGCUCCUCGUAUCUUGCCAAGGCGUCAGCCAUGCCCUCCUCGUCCUCGCACAUCGGGGUUGCUGGUGCUUCUGCGUUAGCCUGCCCUCUUUGCGUUGGUCGAGGCUAGCGUGAGGAGGAGCGGCGGCUGCGGCGUUGGUCGAGGCCAGCGAGGGGAGGAGCGGCGGCUGUGCCGUUGGACAUGGCCGGCGAGGGGAGGAGCGGUGGUGACGAUGGUUGGGUUUCGGCUACCAUAUCGUAUAAGUGUCCUCUCUCGCUGAAGCUCUUCAUGGCUACUGCAGAAGAUUUUUCAGUAUUCUUUGCUGCUAUGUUUCUAGGAUCAUAUCACCAUCAAAAUGCAUUCAUAUUCAACAGUUUGAGCUAUGUGAAAUUCCUCCUUAAUCAGCAUGAUGCCCAUAGGCAUAGGCAACACGGUAGAAGCUGGGCCAAUCAUGACAGGAUCUUCUUCUUAUUAGGUUGAUUACAAACAUCACUCUACUAAUUUUAUGACUCCUAAAAUUGCAAAACAAUCUUUUAGUUUCACUCAAGCUCUCUUCCACGGUUUAAGUAUGUCAUCUGUAAUGCCAUUAACUAAUGUGAAUCUGCUAGUAUCUGAAUUUGAUUAGAGUCAUAGCACAUGACAUGAAAUGUAUGUGAGCCUAUGGAUCCGUUCUGCUGUGAUGUGCAAUAUUCGAUGAGAUAUCUUCCAGCUCCCAUUUGAGCAUCACUGGUUGUUGCAAUGACUGUCAUAGCCGACUUCAUGGCAUACCUCCUCUCGGCCUACAAUGACGCCUUCGUGCACUUAGGCUCUAUGGCAUACAAAGGUGUUGAGAUUUGUGCAGGCGCCAACCGUCAUCUCAACAUUUGGAGAGCUCGUUUGUCAGCUAUGAUUCCCAGGGAAAUACAUGAUGCUGUGCAACAUCUUGCCAGACCCUACAAGCUCUUGCUGAUGUUGUGGAUGCAAGACAGGUGAUUGGAAAUUAAACUCUGUUAACACUGAUGCCUACAUUGACCGUGGAGUGUUCUGCCAUACCAUGUAUUGCACUAAUGUGGAGUAUUCUGCUGCUAUAGCCUAUAACUCUUGUUUUUUGGAGGUCGUGGUAGGAUGAUAUAAAGGGAAAAGUUGCUUUCAUGAUAUAUCAACUGGUGAACUAUCUUGGACAGUUCAGACAGACGGAGAGACAUUCACUGAUGGACGUACAAAACAAUGAAGUUGAGUUGAGACACUGGUCUGACCUUGAGUUACGAUCAAGCGGGCGAGGGUGGGGACGGUGGCCACCGACUCUGAUCCCGCUGGCAAGGAGAGCAGCGGCGUUGCAGCGGACUGGGCCGCGGAGGAGAACGAUUUAGGGUUGUUGCAGAUGCCGAGGAGGCGGCGGCCACGAUCCCCUAGAUGAAGAGGGGGCGGCGUCCGAUCCCGUCGCCCCGCUCUGGCUUGCCUGCUGCCGAUGAGGUAGAUGUGGACGACAACUUCGCUUGCCUGCUGCCGAUGACGUUGAUUAGGACGGCAGCUCCGGCUUGCCGACAAAGGACGAGUACUCGUGCAAGCGGCGGCGGCUGGCCGCCGCGAUGGAGGAGAGGGGGCUGCGACUCUCCAACGAUCCGCACGACAGGGGGGGAAGGGCGGCGGUAGCAUCGCCGGCGGCGGCGGGCGCUCAUGAGUCAAGAGUAUCGUGGUUUUUUUUAUCACGGUAUAAGCAUUGUGGCCUUCUUUUCACAUGUCUACGAUGACGAGCUUGGUUUUUUUUAUCGGAUUCUGAUUUGACGAGUUGACUUCUAAAACGUUCGUUUAUAAUUGGUGAAGCAUUAUAGAAGUUACAUAAAAACUAUUACCAAUUUAAUCAACGGUCACGAAAAAUUAGAUUAGACGGAACCUAGACUAGAUUAGACGGAGCUAAGGUUCCGUGCCAAUCACCGUAAAAGAGCUCAAAGAAUAUAGUCUCCUUUUCUUGCUAAGCUCAUUAUAAUCCAUUUUGAUGUAUGGCAGCCUCUUUUCUUAUUUUUAUCAUGUUUACCUGCGCAAAUAACAUGGCCAAAUUAGCUCUUAUUACUUCCUCCGUUUUAACGUCGUGGGAAAAGUUAGUCUUUCAGUAAUAUUUGUAAAAAAAGUUAAAGCACCUUUGCGAAUAUGUGCUUACCUCCUCCCCGAACUACAAUACUAAGUUAAACAAGCAGUUUUAUACAAGUAAACCAACCACUAGAAAGUAGCACGCUACACUCUUGCACAUACAUGCUUUACCAUUUUCAUUAAGCCGGUAGGUAUAUUUGAUUGAAAAUAUAUAUUCCGUUACUGAAGUCCAUAUGAAAUAUUUCCCUGUGUUUUAAGGUUUUGUUCGUUUUGUACUGUAUACGAUUUCUUAUUGUGAAGUACAUCUGCCUUCCUCAUGAAACAAAAUCCGACCUUGAUCAAUAAAUGUUACAGGGAAACACAAUGGAUCUAAAAAUUGGACAGAUAUUUAUACCGCUGACGAAGACAAAAUAAAAAUCGCUGAAUUUAUGCUUUUUCAGUUCCCAUGGUGUAACACUUACAGGCAAAGAUGAGAUGCUCCUUGUGAGUAGUACUAUGGGUCAAAUGGAUUACGUUUCGUUUGACAUAGCAGCCAUUGUCGGUGUUUUCGUAACCGACGUGACACCCAGCUAUCUAGAAGUUGCGAACAUAACGUCAUUGGCAACUGAACCAAGAAGUUGCUCUGUACCAACUCCGAUUUUGCCAGCAAAUGGUGAGCGACAUGUACUCACUGAUCCAACCAAUGAUCCUUCAAAGGCAACAAAAGAUGCUGGAAAUAGGCAUGCCCAGCAAAGACAUCAUGGGGACUGCUCACUCAGGUCUAAGCGAGGAAACUAGCUCGAGA